CCUACGGGAGGCAGCAGUAAGGAAUCUUCCACAAUGGACGAAAGUCUGAUGGAGCAACGCCGCGUGCAGGAUGAAGGCUUUCGGGUCGUAAACUGCUUUUAUAUGGGAAGAUUAUGACGGUACCAUAUGAAUAAGGACCGGCUAACUACGUGCCAGCAGCCGCGGUAAUACGUAGGGUCCAAGCGAUAUCCGGAAUUACUGGGCGUAAAGCGUGUGUAGGUGGAUUAAUAAGUGUGAUGCGAAAUCCGGCGGCUCAACCGUUUGGACUGUGUCGCAUACUGUUAGUCUAGAGGACGGCAGAGGUAAGUGGAAUUACGGGUGUAGCAGUGAAAUGCGUAGAUAUCCGUAGGAACACCAAUGGCGAAGGCAGCUUACUGGGCCACACCUGACACUGAGACACGAAAGCGUGGGGAGCGAACAGGAUUAGAUACCCUGGUAGUCCACGCCGUAAACGAUGCAUACUAUUAGUAUGGGGUAUCGACCCCCUGUGCUGAGAAGCUAACACGAUAAGUAUGCCGCCUGGGGAGUACGAGCGCAAGCUUAAAACUCAAAUGAAUUGACGG
RNAcentral lists this ribosomal RNA (563 nucleotides) under uncultured bacterium. Its description in RNAcentral is "bacterial SSU rRNA". It matches the Rfam family "Bacterial small subunit ribosomal RNA", at positions 338 to 916 of the family's 1533-position model. The record is from RNAcentral.